Long non-coding RNA from Eurytemora carolleeae, 538 nucleotides. RefSeq lists it as uncharacterized. NCBI's taxonomy places the organism in Eukaryota, Metazoa, Arthropoda, Copepoda, Calanoida, Temoridae. The transcript has 4 exons. The record is from RefSeq and is a predicted model, not a curated record.
CCCCACCAUUAAUAAUUUGUUUUAUUACAGGUUGGAUUUAGUUCUCCACAGGUGUGGGAUGUUGACCGGCUUAUUAGAGCUCGGAAUCCAGGAGCUGUCUUUAGCACUACUGAUAGUCCUACAACAACAUGGCAAACAUUAAGGUCCAUCACAUAUAAUCCUCUACUGGAGGAGGGAUCCGUGGGCAGUCCGAGCAUUCAGGAGGCAAGCCUAGUUCGGAGGGUGAGACCAAGUUCCGUAGCAUCUGCCGGAUCCAGGCUGCACGGUUUUCUCAACUCAGUUUCUUCGAUUCUUCUCCUUUCUUUCGGACUAUGUCUUCUGAGAGGAUAACUUUUGUUGCCUGGUGUUAAGUCUCCCUCUCCGUACAUCUAUUUGAUCAUAAUGUGUAAUCAAUAUUCUUCAAGGGACUAUCCACGUUAUUUCAAGUUAAAGAGGUGUAUGCCCGAUUCAUAACGCUACUUAUUAAAAAGAAAUUUUCUCUUUUUAAGAUAGCUGACAACUUUGUCCUACUCUGAUAUUUAGAUAAAAGGUAAAACAG